AAGGGAAUAUUAAUAAAAUCUCUUUGUUUCUCUUUCUCACAGUCCUAUAAUAAGUAUUAUGAGAUUUCUAUUCAUCAUGUAUCAUAAAUAUUAUUAGUUUUUUUUAUUAUCACCAUGUAUUCUUGACACUAUAUAUACAUUUGAAAAGAAAAGAUAAAGCAGAUGAAAAUUAAUGCUGGGAAUUUUCUUAUCAUAAUGUUAUGCUAUUUAUAACAAUAAUUCAUAUG
Molecule: long non-coding RNA, 227 nt
Filed under: Elaeis guineensis (African oil palm)
Lineage: Eukaryota; Viridiplantae; Streptophyta; Magnoliopsida; Arecales; Arecaceae
Description: long non-coding RNA (EGUI_LNC005616)
Source: RNAcentral